AUAGUGGGUUGCCCGGGAUUCGAACCCGGAUUAAAAGCCGAGUACUCUACCGUUGAGUUAGCAACCC
Molecule: transfer RNA, 67 nt
Filed under: Iochroma salpoanum
Lineage: Eukaryota; Viridiplantae; Streptophyta; Magnoliopsida; Solanales; Solanaceae
Description: tRNA-Lys
Source: RNAcentral